AGAAUCAACGCUGGCGGCGUGCCUAACACAUGCAAGUCGCACGAGAAAGGGGAGCAAUCCCUGAGUACAGUGGCGCACGGGUGAGUAACACGUGAAUAAUCUACCUCCGAGUGGGGAAUAACUGAGAGAAAUCUUAGCUAAUACCGCAUAACACUUACGAGUCAAAGCAGCAAUGCGCUUGGAGAGGAGUUCGCGGCAGAUUAGUUAGUUGGCGGGGUAAUGGCCCACCAAGACGAUGAUCUGUAUCCGGCCUGAGAGGGCGCACGGACACACUGGAACUGAAACACGGUCCAGACUCCUACGGGAGGCAGCAGUGGGGAAUUUUGCGCAAUGGGGGAAACCCUGACGCAGCAACGCCGCGUGGAGGAUGAAGCCCCUUGGGGUGUAAACUCCUUUCGAUCGGGAAGAUAAUGACGGUACCGAUAUAAGAAGCCCCGGCUAACUUCGUGCCAGCAGCCGC
This 460-nucleotide ribosomal RNA is filed under the name uncultured bacterium. Its description in RNAcentral is "SSU rRNA". It matches the Rfam family "Bacterial small subunit ribosomal RNA", at positions 26 to 518 of the family's 1533-position model. The record is from RNAcentral.